Molecule: long non-coding RNA, 1449 nt
Filed under: Homo sapiens (human)
Lineage: Eukaryota; Metazoa; Chordata; Mammalia; Primates; Hominidae
Description: HSALNT0293650
Source: RNAcentral
UCCAGCCGGGGCUCCCGGCCCGCGCCUUGGUGGCUGGAGGCCCAGGAUGAGCCUCGAUGGCGAGAGGCCCAGGAUGCGCCACCAGGCCGGGCUCACUUCUUUGACGCCGAAUAAACUGACAAAACAAUUAGCUGGCCGGCUGGGGAAGGUGGUGGGUGACUCAAAUGCCAGUCGGCUGCGUGCCCCCGCGCUUAGAUGAGUCUGGGAUUCUGGGCAGUUGGGACUUUCUUUUCAGGAAAGGAGGUGAGAGGUGCCGGGGAAGCCCACACGAGCAGCCACUCUUGGAGAAAUGGGGAAUGGCGCUGUAAAAGCGCAGGCCCUCCUCCUCCUCCUUUCUCCCCAUCACACAAAAAGGAUGGGCCUUGAAAGGGAUGAGUUUAUUAUGCACUUUUAAAUGCCUAUUCAGAAAAGAACAGGAGGCAAAAAUAAAGAUGCUUCCCACCCCACCAAUUCCCUUCCCUCGAAGAAAAAAGGAAAGAGAAAGCAACCCACAAAGGUCUUUCUUUCCAGACCUGUGGUCUCUCCCCACCUCCAGCCUCUUAUGGAGAGCAAAGGAAGGAAAUGGGAACAGGACUCAACAGCAACAUUCCAGGAAAAUGAAUAGAAUGUGGGAACGGUUCGAAAUGAUAAAUCCAGGUGAUAGAACGAGUUUCAAAGAGCAAGAGCCUGAUGGUAAUAGGGAAGCCAGGGGAACGGCAGAGGUUGUGCAGAAGACGACUCUGGCAAAAUAAGGACUGUGGAGAGAAAGUAAGUGGCUUUUAAGAUCUUAAACAUGGGGUCAAAAUUAUACCAUGAGAAGAAAGAAAAAGUCCCUGGGAGUGUUUGUAGACAGACCAAAGGACAGAACGUGAAGAAGGGCCUAUGAGAGAAUUGGUAUCCGGAAGAUUGUUUAUGUGCAACACUUCUGAGGAAUAAAGGGUGAUAAACUGUCUCGUGAGAAUGAACUACUGGAAGGACGGAGAGACACAAGGAAUGGCUGCAGUCAAGGUGAAAUGUAGGCCGUUGUGAGAGUUUCAUCCCAGGGCAUGAUGAGAAUGCCAGGGCCUGAUGCGUGUCAACGGUGCUUCAUCUGCUCAGAGAGUGUCCUAAAACCAGUCAGACCCUAGAUGUAGAAGUAUGCCACCCAAUGUCACCUAGCAGUUCAAUGCCAGGGAGAGAAAAUUCAGGCUUUCUUAUCCCCCUUCUAGUGCAAGCCCAUGGAAUAUGCCACUUUCCUAGUUAGGAUUUGGAAUUGGUCAUUGGGAAGGGCUCCGAAGAGAAACUCUGAGAAUUGUUGAUUUCCAUUUCAAAUCCCCCUAAUGCAUAAAAUAAGAAUGUGUUCUGCGGUGUUCCUCAGCUUAUUAACUUUUAUAAAAGAAAGGAAUGAUCUUUGUUGUUACUUGAAAACAGCCACAUUUGGAAAGGUCUACGCUACCCAAAUGUAAUAAAAAUAAAUUUUAGUUCAAUUGG